AGACGGACCCGGCGGGAGAGGAGGAAGCCGGGUUGUGGGCGCGGAGCUGAGGCGGAGGCGGGGCCGGGGCGGGAAGGGGCGGCCCCAGCUGGGUCGGGCGAGGCUGGCUGCGGGAAACCGAGUGAGCCCUCGCUUUUCCUCCGGGGUCCGCGCGCGGGACCCUAUUUCUGGCCUGUCUCGCGCUUCGCCUGCGCGGUGGUCUCCACGCUGGGACUGCGGCGUCCUCGCAGAACAGCCAGAACUCCACUUCUUCCUGUCCGGGAGGAGUUGUUUAAAACAUGCGUAUCUCCACCUUCUGCUUCUUAGAACAGAACUGACUGAAGCCGUGUUCUUCCCGCCGAGACCAUGCCGCCCCAUCGACCCUGCUGCGGCCAGAGCCACCCAGGGCGGGCCCACUCACCGCAGGCUCGGGCCACUUGGUUCCAAACCUCCACUCCCAUCCAGGGGCCCGGCACACCCACCACACUCCCACUCUCAGAGGUCUUUGCCGCCUGCUUCAGGAGAAAAGAGAAACUUCCACUUUCCACCGGCAAAACUGCACACCUGCUCCCUCCAUCACCGAGCCCCCCCCCCCACCUUCUGUUUUUCCAGUAUCGCAGAAUCCGAUCCGUUGCUCCCUCUGGACUGGAAUCCGUAUCCUCGGCAUUUCAUCAUUCCAAGAUUCUCUACUCCACGUACCCUUGCUGCCACCCUCUUCUACUUUCCAUCGCUGAAGUUGGUGAAAGAGGCGCCUGCCCCCAGUUUUGUGGUCUCUCAACUCCACGUGUUCGUUUUCACACUCGGUGAAAUUGCCUUUUUAAUUGUCGCAAGUAGCAUCCACAUCACUAAAGUCAAAGGACACUCUCCUUUCUCGUGUUAACUGAUCUGAGCAAAAUUCCUUCUUUCUCCUUAAAACACGUCUUCCUGUGGCGGGGGUGCUCCACUUUCCUGUCUGUCCCCAGUCUUGGCGUGCUUGUCUACUCUGGGUGACCACCAAAUAACAGAGUUUUCAAGGUCUCAGACCUUUCCUCUUACUCCACAAUUUUUCCCUGAAUGAUUUAACCUGCUGUCAACAUUUAAAUCAAUAUAUCCCAAAUUUGCAACUCUAAUCUUUGCUCCUCUGAGCUCCAAAUCCGUUUAUCUAGCUUCCUAUUCAGCUACUCCUGGUAACAAGCACCUCAAAUGGAACCCAUCCAAAACUGAAUGCGUCCUUUCCCUGCUUGCUUUCAACUCCCUGUCUCCCUUGUUUCCCAAACUCUGCCUUCACCUCGGCAUCUAACAAAUCGCCAAGAUUCUACUUCCUAAAUAACUCUGAAGUCUGUCCACUUCCUACCAUUUCCAGUAUUACGUAUCAUAAUGUGCUUACUGCACGUGCGUUUUCCCGGCCCACACUCAGUGAUGUCUCGUUGGUAGACUGUAAUGGGCCAUGGUCGAAGUAUUUACACCAUGGAAAUUAGCCAACAUUAUGAAUCAUGAAUCAGGGAUCGAUUUGUUUUGCUGAUUGUCUCUAGACUUCAGAAAGUGAUGGGGAAGAUGUUAAUAAUGUAGAUUAAACUUAAAAAUGUGUUUAGUGCUGAAACAAGAUUGCAGUUUAAUGAGUUUAUACAAGGGUAAGAAGUAGUUUAACAGAUCACAUAUCAGAUUUAAGGACAAUAAAUUUGUUGGCAAAAAGUGGAUCGGUAUGUAAUUUCACUAGUCACAUCAUGGUUGAGUUACAAGCAUUGGAUGGAUUCAGAUACAAGCCUUUGGCAAAAAAGAAGCAAAGCUUUCUGUGAGAAUCAGUCAAGUAGAUAGAACUGACAAUAAAGAGUGUCUGCCUUUUACUUGUGUAUUGUUUAUUACACAUCCUUUAUAUCAGAAACAUUUAUAACACACAUAUGGUUGUAUAUAUAGGUGGAAAUAAAAAGCAGAUGAGAUUUUAGUCAGUUUUUUUUUUUAUACUUUUAAGUUCUAGGGUACAUGUGCAGAACGUGCAGGUUUGUUACAUAGGUAUGUAUGUGCCAUGUUGGUUUGCUGCACCCAUCAAGUUGUCAUUUACAUUAGGUAUUUCUCCUAAUGCUAUCCCUCCCCCAGCACCCCACCCCCUGACAGGCCCCGGUGUGGGUGCGUGAGGUUCCCCACCCUGUGUCCAUGUGUUCUCAUUGUUCAAGUCCCACCUAUGAGUGAGAACAUGUGGUGUUUGGUUUUCUGUCCUUGUGAUGCUUUGCUCAGAAUGAUGGUUUGCAGCUUCAUCCAUGUCCCUGCAAAGGACAUGAACUCAUCCUUUUUUAUGGCUGCAUAGUAUUCCAUGAUGUAUAUGUGCCACAGUUUAUUAAUCCAGUCUAUCGCUGAUGGACAUUUGGGUUGGUUCCAAGUCUUUGCUAUUUUAAAUAGUGCUGCAAUAAACAUACGUGUGCAUGUGCCUUUAUAGUAGUGUGAGUUAUAAUCCUUUGGGUAUAUACCCAGUAAUGGGAUCGCUGGGUCAAAUGGUAUUUCUAGUUCUGGAUGCUUAAGGAAUAGCCACACUGUCUUCCACAAUGGUUGAACUAGUUUACACUCCCACCAACAGUAUAAAAGCGUUCCUGUUUCUCCACAUCCUCUCCAGCAUCUGUUGUUUCCUUAAUUUUUAAUGAUAGCCAUUCUAACUGGCAUGAGAUGGUAUCUUAUUGUGGUUUUGAUUUGCAUUUCUCUGAUGGCCAGUGAUGAUGAGCAUUUUUUCAUGUGUCUGUUGGCUGCAUAAAUGUCUUCUUUUGAGAAGUGUCUGUUCAUAUCCUUUGCCCACUU
Molecule: long non-coding RNA, 2742 nt
Filed under: Homo sapiens (human)
Lineage: Eukaryota; Metazoa; Chordata; Mammalia; Primates; Hominidae
Description: non-protein coding lnc-PCCA-6:3
Source: RNAcentral